AUGAACGCUGGCGGCGUGCCUCAUACAUGCCAGUCGAGCGAACGGACGAGAAGCUUGCUUUUCUGAUGUUAGCGGCGGACGGGUGAGUAACACGUGGAUAACCUACCUAUAAGACUGGGAUAACUUCGGGAAACCGGAGCUAAUACCGGAUAAUAUUUUGAACCGCAUGGUUCAAAAGUGAAAGACGGUCUUGCUGUCACUUAUAGAUGGAUCCGCGCUGCAUUAGCUAGUUGGUAAGGUAACGGCUUACCAAGGCAACGAUGCAUAGCCGACCUGAGAGGGUGAUCGGCCACACUGGAACUGAGACACGGUCCAGACUCCUACGGGAGGCAGCAGUAGGGAAUCUUCCGCAAUGGGCGAAAGCCUGACGGAGCAACGCCGCGUGAGUGAUGAAGGUCUUCGGAUCGUAAAACUCUGUUAUUAGGGAAGAACAUAUGUGUAAGUAACUGUGCACAUCUUGACGGUACCUAAUCAGAAAGCCACGGCUAACUACGUG
RNAcentral lists this ribosomal RNA (496 nucleotides) under uncultured bacterium. RNAcentral's name for it is "partial 16S ribosomal RNA". It matches the Rfam family "Bacterial small subunit ribosomal RNA", at positions 29 to 507 of the family's 1533-position model. The record is from RNAcentral.